Acanthosepion pharaonis is the source of this 76-nucleotide non-coding RNA. NCBI's taxonomy places the organism in Eukaryota, Metazoa, Mollusca, Cephalopoda, Sepiida, Sepiidae. The record is from the annotation of a GenBank genome assembly.
AUCACCAAAGUUAAACAAAGUUGACCCUGAUCAGUACUUAGAUGGGUGACCACUUGGGAAUACCAUGUGCUGCAAG